UACGGGAGGCAGCCCUNGGGAAUAUUGGGCAAUGGGCGAAAGCCUGACCCAGCAACGCCGCGUGAAGGAAGAAGGUUUUCGGAUUGUAAACUUCUGUCCUAUGUGAAGAGAUAGAGACGGUAGCAUAGGAGGAAGCCCCGGCUAACUACGUGCCAGCAGCCGCGGUAAU
Molecule: ribosomal RNA, 169 nt
Filed under: uncultured rumen bacterium
Lineage: Bacteria
Description: partial 16S ribosomal RNA
Rfam family: Bacterial small subunit ribosomal RNA
Source: RNAcentral